CCUACGGGGGGCUGCAGUGGGGAAUAUUGGACAAUGGGGGCAACCCUGAUCCAGCCAUGCCGCGUGUGUGAAGAAGGCCCUCGGGUUGUAAAGCACUUUCAGUGAGGAAGAACGCCUGGUGGUUAAUACCCAUCAGGAAAGACAUCACUCACAGAAGAAGCACCGGCUAACUCCGUGCCAGCAGCCGCGGUAAUAUGGAGGGUGCGAGCGUUAAUCGGAAUUACUGGGCGUAAAGCGCGCGUAGGUGGCUUGAUAAGCCGGUUGUGAAAGCCCCGGGCUCAACCUGGGAACGGCAUCCGGAACUGUCAAGCUAGAGUGCAGGAGAGGAAGGUAGAAUUCCCGGUGUAGCGGUGAAAUGCGUAGAGAUCGGGAGGAAUACCAGUGGCGAAGGCGGCCUUCUGGACUGACACUGACACUGAGGUGCGAAAGCGUGGGUAGCAAACAGGAUUAGAUACCCCAGUAGUC
This 465-nucleotide ribosomal RNA is filed under the name Vreelandella stevensii. RNAcentral's name for it is "partial 16S ribosomal RNA". It matches the Rfam family "Bacterial small subunit ribosomal RNA", at positions 338 to 795 of the family's 1533-position model. The record is from RNAcentral. Lineage: Bacteria; Pseudomonadati; Pseudomonadota; Gammaproteobacteria; Oceanospirillales; Halomonadaceae.